GUGUCAGCAGCCGCGGUAAUACGGAGGGUGCAAGCGUUAUCCGGAUUCACUGGGUUUAAAGGGUGCGUAGGAGGGCAGGUAAGUCAGUGGUGAAAUCUCCGAGCUUAACUUGGAAACUGCCGUUGAUACUAUCUGCCUUGAAUAUUGUGGAGGUGAGCGGAAUAUGUCAUGUAGCGGUGAAAUGCUUAGAUAUGACAUAGAACACCAAUUGCGAAGGCAGCUCGCUACACAUAUAUUGACUCUGAGGCACGAAAGCGUGGGGAUCAAACAGGAUUAGAUACCCGCGUAGUCC
This 292-nucleotide ribosomal RNA is filed under the name uncultured bacterium. RNAcentral describes it as "partial 16S ribosomal RNA". It matches the Rfam family "Bacterial small subunit ribosomal RNA", at positions 505 to 796 of the family's 1533-position model. The record is from RNAcentral.